AGGAAGUGGCGGAAAGAAGGAAGUGGCAGAAGGAAGGAAGGCAAUAAUUUCUCCUAGAGGACUGCUGAAAAAGUGAAGACCUCCUGAAUGUGCAUGCAGGGCUUCCCUCCUGGACCCAGGAGGGUCUCUGAGAGCUCACAUAAGUUGGGGAAAUUUGGUGAGAAAAAUGAUUCAGGCCAAGCACAGCAAACCAGUCUAGCACCUGAGCUGACAUCAAACAAGACUUUGGAAGAAGAAGCUUUCAUUCUUAAGCUGAAACGGCAAGCCUCUUUUGAGAAAGAAACUGUCUUCCAGUAAAAUGGAGCCUUGGUCCCAGCUGGAGACCCUUUGCAUUACUCUUACGUAAAUACUGCAGGAAUAAUUGGAUCCCACCAACAGCAAACCUAAUAAUCCAGCAGCAGCUUCUUCAAGCUCAGAUGAUGAUGUUGUGCAUGGGGAUCAUCCUGAGCUGCUGUGCUGAUACAAGAAUGACUUGGAUGUUUGUCUGCUAGUACACUAAAGAGAUGAGCAGAGACCUUGGGUGGCUCCUGUGACUGAAGACAUUGCUGCCACCCUGGCACAUUGCAUUUCUCCAUCUGAACCGGAGGUGAAUUUCAGAUGAAAUUUCCAGCUGGUUUCAUGCCUGCCUGCUCCUCCAUUUGAAUUAGUAAGUCUGUAAUGGAAUUAUAGCAUGUCUGUGCCAGUAAUGUUUAUACAGCAGGCAGUAUGCCAAAGGCUUGACAAUAUCAUAACUUAAUUAAAUGUGAGUGUAUGUAUGAACAAAAAGAUAAUUCAGUUGUGCUUAGGGUAUAUAGCCUCUGCUUGUCAGGCUUUCCUGCUUAACCUACAACUUCUUGGACAGAAUAUUUUUAUCUUCUGCUGGCCAAGGUCUCUUGUGAUACUGCUUACAUACCAAGCCAGUUCACAAAUGCUUUGUAAUCACAGCAUAUUUCGAGCACUCUCUUCCUCCUGUUCCUAUUCUUUUACCCAUUUCAGUUUAAUUUCCCUCUAUGGGGUACUGAGUCUGAGUCCCACUUGCAGUGGAGAUUUUCCUUCCCUUGACUGCAAAGGCAUUCUGGGCAACAGACUCCCAUUUUGUACAAGUGAAAGUGAAUACCUGCAGUGUGAGUCUGGGUAUUUUCUCUCCCUCUUUUAUAAUUUCCCUUUUUUCUUUCUCAGUUUCUUGUUUGUCUCUGGAUAGGUUUUCCUCUUCUUCAAUCUAAAGCCUCUUCUAUUUUUCUCAUAAAACAAAUCCACAUUUUACUUGCCAGUUUGCUCCCUCUUCACAGCCUGAAGAUCUCAUGCUGCUCUGUGCUGGCUACAGAGGUGGGGAAGGUGCAUCGAGUGAGACUGACUCAAUCUCCCUGUGACACUGUUUUCAGGCAGGAGUAGAGUCUUCCUGCUUUCUGGCAUAGAUGAUGUUCACUCUUUUGGAGCAGCAGUCAGACUAAGGGUUAUGUUGAUUUAAUAAAUAUUUUUUAUUUUAUCUUUUUGGGGCAGGACCUGAAUUUAUAAUGAGGCAAGGAAGG
This is a long non-coding RNA of Motacilla alba alba, 1508 nucleotides long. RefSeq lists it as uncharacterized. Lineage: Eukaryota; Metazoa; Chordata; Aves; Passeriformes; Motacillidae. The record is from RefSeq and is a predicted model, not a curated record. The transcript has 3 exons.